UUUUAACGGAGAGUUUGAUUCUGGCUCAGAACGAACGCUGGCGGCGUGGAUAAGACAUGCAAGUCGGACGAGAUUUUUCGUUGUAGCAAUACGAUGGAAAGUCUAGUGGCGAACGGGUGCUUAACACGUGGGCAAUCUGUCUUAAAGUGGGGGAUAGCUCGGCGAAAGCCGAAUUAAUACCGCAUGUGAUUAGAGUGGACAUCCAUUCGAAAUUAAAGGUGGCGCAAGCUACCGCUUUUUGAGGAGCCCGCGGCCUAUCAGCUUGUUGGUGAGGUAACGGCUCACCAAGGCUUUGACGGGUAGCUGGUCUGAGAGGACGACCAGCCACACUGGGACUGAGACACGGCCCAGACACCUACGGGUGGCAGCAGUCGAGAAUUUUUCUCAAUGGGGGAAACCCU
Molecule: ribosomal RNA, 401 nt
Filed under: Verrucomicrobiota bacterium
Lineage: Bacteria; Pseudomonadati; Verrucomicrobiota
Description: bacterial SSU rRNA
Rfam family: Bacterial small subunit ribosomal RNA
Source: RNAcentral